Molecule: ribosomal RNA, 491 nt
Filed under: uncultured bacterium
Lineage: Bacteria
Description: partial 16S ribosomal RNA
Rfam family: Bacterial small subunit ribosomal RNA
Source: RNAcentral
GAUGAACGCUGGCUACAGGCUUAACACAUGCAAGUCGAGGGGAAACGUCGGGGAAUCUUUCUUCCCCGGGCGUCGACCGGCGCACGGGUGAGUAACGCGUAUCCAACCUGUCUCUGACUGAGGGAUAACCCGUCGAAAGUCUGCCUAAUACCUCAUUGCAUCGUCUGCUGGCAUCCAACGACGAUUAAGUAUUUCAUCGGUCAGAGAUGGGGAUGCGUCUGAUUAGCUUGUUGGCUGGGUAACGGCCCACCAAGGGGACGAUGAGUAGGGGUUCUGAGAGGAAGGUACACCACAUCGGAACUGAGACCCGGUCCAAACUGCUACGGGAGGGAGCAGUGAGGAAUAUUGGUGAAGGGGGGAGAACCUGGAAACGCCAAGUAGCGUGCAAGAGGCCGGGGAUAUGGGUUGUAAACUGCUUUUAUGCGAGGAUAAAGUGAGGGACGUGUCAUUCAUUGAAGGUACCGAAUGAAUAAGGACCGGCUAAUUACGUG